CCCCUCUCAGGGUCACAGCUGGAGAGUUCCCAGUACUCUACCAGUCUUGACUACGGGAGGGAGAGUCAGGCAGAGACAUAUGCAUUCCAUUCCUAGCUUGGACAGUGGCUAGCGAGUGGAAGGCCAUCUGCAACGUCA
Molecule: small nucleolar RNA, 138 nt
Filed under: Ornithorhynchus anatinus (platypus)
Lineage: Eukaryota; Metazoa; Chordata; Mammalia; Monotremata; Ornithorhynchidae
Source: RNAcentral